RNAcentral lists this ribosomal RNA (253 nucleotides) under uncultured bacterium. RNAcentral describes it as "partial 16S ribosomal RNA". It matches the Rfam family "Bacterial small subunit ribosomal RNA", at positions 524 to 776 of the family's 1533-position model. The record is from RNAcentral.
UACGUAGGGGGCGAGCGUUGUCCGGAAUUAUUGGGCGUAAAGAGCGUGUAGGCUGUUCGGUAAGUCUGCCGUGAAAACCUGAGGCUCAACCUCGGGCGUGCGGUGGAUACUGCCGGGCUAGAGGACGGUAGAGGCGAGUGGAAUUCCCGGUGUAGCGGUGAAAUGCGCAGAUAUCGGGAGGAACACCAGUAGCGAAGGCGGCGCGCUGGGCCGUUCCUGACGCUGAGACGCGAAAGCUAGGGGAGCGAACAGG